AACGAACGCUGGCGGCAUGCCUAACACAUGCCAGUCGAACGAGACCUUCGGGUCUAGUGGCGCACGGGUGCGUAACGCGUGGGAAUCUGCCCUUGGGUUCGGAAUAACAGUUGGAAACGACUGCUAAUACCGGAUGAUGACGUAAGUCCAAAGAUUUAUCGCCCAAGGAUGAGCCCGCGUAGGAUUAGCUAGUUGGUGAGGUAAAGGCUCACCAAGGCGACGAUCCUUAGCUGGUCUGAGAGGAUGGUCAGCCACACUGGGACUGGGACACGGCCCAGACUCCUACGGGAGGCAGCAGUGGGGAAUAUUGGACAAUGGGCGAAAGCCUGAUCCAGCAAUGCCGCGUGAGUGAUGAAGGCCUUAGGGUUGUAAAGCUCUUUUACCCGGGAUGAUAAUGACAUUACCGGGAGAAUAAGCACCGGCUAACUCCGUG
RNAcentral lists this ribosomal RNA (433 nucleotides) under uncultured bacterium. Its description in RNAcentral is "partial 16S ribosomal RNA". It matches the Rfam family "Bacterial small subunit ribosomal RNA", at positions 29 to 507 of the family's 1533-position model. The record is from RNAcentral.